Molecule: ribosomal RNA, 3100 nt
Filed under: Acrasis kona
Lineage: Eukaryota; Heterolobosea; Eutetramitea; Acrasida; Acrasidae
Description: partial 18S ribosomal RNA
Rfam family: Eukaryotic small subunit ribosomal RNA
Source: RNAcentral
ACCUGGUUGAUCCUGCCAGUAAUAUAUGCUUGUCUCAAAGAUUAAGCCAUGCACAUGUAAGAUCGGCAUAGGUUUCUACUUCGGUAGUCGCUCAUUGUUAAUCUGUGAACGGCUCAUUAUAACAGUUAUACUCGUAGCCACUGGUACGUAGGCGCAAGCCGAUAAGGAUAACAUUGUCAAAUGCAGCGAUAAUACUUGAUAGACGGACCGGUUCACGCCGGUUGGCAUUAGCGUACUUAUCUCACGAUCGUGAGGAAACCGCGCUACUGUGACUCUUGGCUAACUGUGGUUCUCCAUAAGUGGCCGGAGCGUCGACCAUCAGACGUGUGCAAACACACACGGUUCUUUAAAUAGGGUUUUAAUAAGGCUCUGUUUUUUUAGCUGUGCUGGUGGCCAGGAAGACGAAUUUCUUAUCUAUCAGCUGAAGUUGUCUCAAUAGGGGUGAGACACGGCGAUUACGGAUUCGGAGAAUCAGUGUUUGAUUCCGGAGAGGGAGCCYUAAAAAUGGCUACUACAUCUAAGGACGGCAGCAGGCGCGAAAAUUGCCCAAUCUCAAUUCGAGGAGGCAGUGACAAGAAAUAACAGCUCUCCACCAUCUGGUGGGGAGGUACUAUUCAUAGUUUGGAAUGAUUUUAGAUUAAAAUUCUAUUAAAAAUGACUAGAGGAAGAGUCURGUGCCAGCACCCGCGAAACAGCUCCGCGGGGAAAGUGUGCGAGACACACUAGUGUAUCAGUACAGAUUUCGCAACAUCAACAAAUUGCAGGGAGUAUCUUAUGACUUUGCUACCGAGUCUAAUUAGCAAUGAUUAGAUGGCGUCAGAGAAAGAUGACAUGAAGGCGCAAAGUCUUGGUUAAUCCGCAGCCAAUUUCUCAAAGAGAAUGCAGUUCAUCGACUAAAUGGUGAUGGGGGAGCUGGGCUCUCAUAAGAUAUAGUCAGUUCCUGGUGCAAGCCAGAUGCAUGAAGAGGUGAUGCACCGUCACUAGCGCAUGCAUGCUUAUUAGCCUCGAAGGCUGAUAAGUGCAUACACGGUAAUUCCAGCUCUAGUAGCGUAUGUUAAUACUGUUGUAGUUAAAACGCUCGUAGUUGGCCUAAGGGCUAUGUGUUUUGUGUUCGGUGUCUGUUUAUCUCUAUGGGCUAACAUGUUAUAAUGUGAGCCUUGGAAGUAGACAUACUCCUUAAGUGACUAGUAAUCUCAUCGAAGUUUGCAGUCAUGGGCGCAUGUGCAUAGUCCGCUCUACGCCAAUGGUUCCAUUGGUGGUGGCAGUUUGAACAACUGUAAACAAAUCAGGGUGCUCAAAGCAGGCAUUGUUAGAGGCUUCUGUCUCGAUUUUGCUUGAAUGAUUUAGCAUGGGAUUGUCCUAUAGCUGUGUUUGGUUCCUGUCUUCGGGCAGGCUACCUUGCACUGGCGCUCGUAACGUGAGCAAGGGAGAGGGCUCUGGAACUAUAGUGCUAGAGGUGAAAUUUAGAUACCGCUAUAUGUCUAUCUGAUGCGAAGGCUGUUAUAGUCCAGUACAUUUCAAUCGAUCAGGAACGAAAGUUAGGGGAUCGAAGAUGAUUAGAUACCGUCGUAGUCCUAACUAUAAACGAUACCAACAAGAGAUUGGCAGUGAAACCAUUUAUGAUCCUUUCAGAAUCCAAGGGAAACCUCAAGUUUUUGGGUUCUGGGGGGAGUUAAUCGAUUAGCUCUCAAGAGUGUUAUUAACAACGCUAGUUUUUAUUGUCUGCAAUAAAUGCAACACCUUCAAAUUGAGGGGAAGUUUCAAGACCUUUUAUACCAAGUUGUAGCGCCAAUGCUAUAAUGACCGUGCUAAUGACCACGGGUAUGGUAAAAGCUAAAGGGAAAGGAACAAUCCUCAGCCACGCUCUCACAGAGAACGCAGUUCACAGACUAAAUGUUGGUGGGCCAAGUAUGCUUGGCAUAAGAUAUAGUCGGUCUUGUAUGCAUGUACAAGUAACAACGAUAGUCGCAAGGCCGAAACUUAAAGGAAUUGACGGAAAGGCACCACCAGGAGUGGAGUUUGCGGCUUUUCAACGAAUUAGGCCGUUAAUGCGCUAGCCAAAACUAGUGCAAGUGGCACGUGCUGCUACACUUUCAAAUUGCUCGGAACUCCUGCAACUUAAUAGCACCGCCCCAGCGCCGAAAGGUCUGCUAUUGGGCACCACGCUAAAAGUCGUGGGUAUGGUGACCUGUUAAAUGGGAUAAUGAGCAGCAAAAUCCUAGCGUCUUAGCACAAGUUAAGACUAUGGAUGCAGUUCACAGAUUAAACGGAAGUGGGCGUUCACAAGACGCUUAAGAUAYAUUCGGUCCCACCUGAGACGGUGCCCUAGAACCAAGCCCAGCAAGGCCCGAGUCUAGGGAGGCUAAGUCCAUUGACGGAAUAGCUGGGAUUCAAUGUAAUUCGACUCAACGCGGGAAAACUCACCAGGUCAGGACAAAGUAAUGAUUGACAGGUUGAUAGUCUUUUCUUGAUUCUUUGGAUGGUGGUGCAUGGCCGUUCUUAGUUCGUGGAGUGAUUUGUCUUGUUAAUUCAGUUAACGAACGAGACCUUAACCUACUAAAUAUGCUAUAAGCUGGGUCUUCUGAUUCAGUUCGUUUCUUCGAGUGCCUCGUAUGGGGUGCUCUCUGAAACUUAUAAACUGGGAUGUUAUCUUCUGAUAUCCUCUCUGCUUCUUAGAGGAACAAUACUUCGUUUUUUUAGAGUAAGGAAGUUUAAGGCAAUAACAGGUCUGUAAUGCCCCUAGAUGUCCUGGGCAGCACGCGUACUACACUGUUAAUACUAACAAGCUGUACAAAGUAACCACUCUUGUGGCUACUAGCCUUCUCCUUAAAGGAGUGGGGAAUCUUUUCAAACAUUAACGUGACAGGGAUAGCUGUUUGGAAAUCCAUCUUGAACGAGGAAUUCCUAGUAAUCGCGAUUCAUCAUAUCGCAUUGAUUACGUCCCUGCCUUUUGUACACACCGCCCGUCGCUCCUACCGAUGGAAUGAGCAGGUGAAUUUGACGGACAGGGCUUUUUUGUCUUGGAAAUUAACUGAACCUUUUUAUUUGUAGGAAGGAGAAGUCGUAACAAGGUCUUCGUAGGUGAACCUGCAGAAGGAUC